CAGGGCUCCGCAUGCGGGGCAGGAGCCGAAGGCUGGGGCACGCCCGAUCGAAAGCUCCAGUGUUUAUCGAAUCUGACAGCAAAGACUCAGACACAUCUAAUGUGAUAAGAAGGGAGCCUGAGGGGAUAACGGACAAUUCUGGCCAUGGUUGAAUAGAGAACAAGGUGAGCUUCUGAGAGUAGGGCAAACCAAGGCAGGUUAGGGGGCAUUUGAGAUGUUGGAAUAGGUUCGGUCAAGCCUGUAAGAGUUGAUUGAAGGUUGGCCAAGUAGCCGUGGAUGGGUCGGGUGAAUGGGAGUGACUCAGCACAGUGUGGUCUGGCAGCUGUGGGGUGGGAACAGAGCAACCAGCAGGACGGCUGGGGGCCUGGCCAAUGAGGCAACAGGACGGGGAGAGGGUGGGAAAAGAGGUGCAGAUGCUACAGAGAGCAGUGGUGAAAGGGUCAGCCAUGGGCUCCAGGUGGGGCGGGCAGGUCUGGAAAGCAGAAGGAGAGAGGAGAGGGGAGUAGAUAGGCAGGAGGAUGGUCAAGGCAAGGGAGAACAGGGUUCAUAGGCUUGAGGGAUUGGUGGUGGAGGGAGAAAGAGGGAAGUGGUUAAGGGAGGGAAGCUCAGAGCUGCAGAUCUGGGAGAAGGAGCAGCACGCAGCGGUUCCAAACACCAAGGUCUGGCUUUGCUGGCAGUGGCUUGACUGGAGGAAAGAGAAAAGCCAGGGAGGUUGAGGGUGUGAAGAUGGAAAGAUGAUUUCCUGUUGGGUGGAAUUCUGUCCAGAGAGACGGUUGAGAGGGGAUGGCAGAACUGCUGAUUGUAAGGAGAACUUGAAGCCAGACCUUGUCUGCCCUCCCCUGCACCGGGGAGUCUGUGAAGGGGACUGGAGCCUGCUGGGCAGGACAUGUGGCCAUUCUGUCGCCUGAGGAAGGGAAAAGAACAUCAACCUUAAUUAAUAUCUGCUAUGUUUAUAUAAUUUAAUUCUCUUCAUGACUCUCCAAGGUAGGUAUUGUGUAAAGCACAGAUGAUGAAACCAAGGCAGAGAGAAGCAGGAUAACUUGCCCAGGUUUCACACAGCAAGUGGGGGAGUGUGGUCAGAAUUGGAACCAGGUCCAUUGAUGCCAAAGUCUGAGGCUCCACAGGUAACUGGGGCAGAGGUUAAUUCCAUUAGGAGGAUUAUAAAAUCUACAGGUAAACGGUAACUAGUACUGAUGGC
This 1198-nucleotide long non-coding RNA is filed under the name Equus asinus (donkey). Its description in RNAcentral is "lncRNA (ENSEASG00005030839.1)". Lineage: Eukaryota; Metazoa; Chordata; Mammalia; Perissodactyla; Equidae. The record is from RNAcentral.